This 30-nucleotide non-coding RNA is filed under the name Arabidopsis thaliana (thale cress). The record is from RNAcentral. RNAcentral also lists the same sequence under 1 other name. Lineage: Eukaryota; Viridiplantae; Streptophyta; Magnoliopsida; Brassicales; Brassicaceae.
CAGCAGGACGGUGGUCAUGGAAGUCGAAAU